This is a non-coding RNA of Biomphalaria pfeifferi, 755 nucleotides long. Lineage: Eukaryota; Metazoa; Mollusca; Gastropoda; Planorbidae. The record is from the annotation of a GenBank genome assembly.
GUGCAGGAACAGUUGGGAUUGUCGUUUGUGUCACGCUCAUCUCUUAUCCAUUGAGACACUGUGAAGUGAUGUAACCAGUGAGGUUUUGUAACAACUUUAUUGAAUUGUAAUGAGGAUAUCUACAAACGUUUGUGUACAAAUGUGUGAUAAUUAGCAGGUCUUUGACCUCUGCACUUAAUGUGGUGAUCAAAAUGUAUUUGCGAUUCCCAGUGAAAUCAUUCUUUGAGUGCUUAAAAAAGAAAUUCAUACGGAUGUAUGACUGUGUUAGACGUUCUCAUUUUUAUUCCGAUUGAACGUUUGUAACAAUAAUUAAGUCACACUCAAGGAACAUAUGAACGUGUCCAUCAAAGGAAAUAUCGCCGCUCGUGAUGCAACGCACACUAAUCAACAUUUGCACUUGCAGACCAACUAAAUAGUUGCGGAGAAAACACAUUUAAUUGAUGACUUUACUAUGUUUAGAUUAGGACUUUUCAAAGGCGAAGACUGGACUCUUUAGCCAUCUUCGUGUUCAUAGGAAUGAUUAACGGAGGACUUUUAAAAGCGAAGACUGGACUCCUUAGCCAUCUUCGUGUUUAUAGGAAUGAUUAACGGAGGAAUUUUAAAAGCGAAGACUGGACUCCUUAGCCAUCUUCGUGUUCAUAGAAAUGAUUAAUGGAGGAAUUUUAAAAGUGAAGACUGGGCUCUUCAGCCAUCUUCAUGUUUAAAGGAUGUAGUUGAGGAUUUUUUUUCAAAGAAGAUCGGUCUCCAUGACCAUC